ACAGCAGCUUAAAAACCUCUACUGAGAGCAGAGCCCACAAGCUUACAAGGCAGGCUUUCCUAGAUUCAUUCCCCCUCUUCUCUCUCUCUCUCUCUCUCUCUCUCUCUCUCUCUCUCUCUCUCUCUCUAAUAAAAAGAUUUAUACUCUCUUUUUUCUCAAUCCCACGAUUAGAAAAAAAUUAAUAUAUUAUAUUUAUUUUUUUUUUUUUUUUUUAUUGAUACGAUUGGUUUUGUUU
This is a long non-coding RNA of Monodelphis domestica (gray short-tailed opossum), 235 nucleotides long. The record is from Ensembl. NCBI's taxonomy places the organism in Eukaryota, Metazoa, Chordata, Mammalia, Didelphimorphia, Didelphidae.